UGAGUUUGAUCCUGGCUCAGGAUGAACGCUGGCGGCGUGCUUAACACAUGCAAGUCGAACGAAGCACUUUGAAAGCUUGCUUUCAAAGUGACUGAGUGGCGGACGGGUGAGUAACGCGUGGGUAACCUGCCUUAUACAGGGGGAUAACAGUUGGAAACGACUGCUAAUACCGCAUAAGCGCACAGUGCCGCAUGGCACAGUGUGAAAAACUCCGGUGGUAUAAGAUGGACCCGCGUCUGAUUAGCUAGUUGGUGAGGUAACGGCUCACCAAGGCGACGAUCAGUAGCCGGCCUGAGAGAGUGAUCGGCCACAUUGGGACUGAGACACGGCCCAAACUCCUACGGGAGGCAGCAGUGGGGAAUAUUGCACAAUGGGGGAAACCCUGAUGCAGCAACGCCGCGUGAGUGAAGAAGUAUUUCGGUAUGUAAAGCUCUAUCAGCAGGGAAGAUAAUGACGGUACCUGACUAAGAAGCCCCGGCUAACUACGUGCCAGCAGCCGCGGUAAUACGUAGGGGGCAAGCGUUAUCCGGAUUUACUGGGUGUAAAGGG
RNAcentral lists this ribosomal RNA (549 nucleotides) under uncultured bacterium. Its description in RNAcentral is "bacterial SSU rRNA". It matches the Rfam family "Bacterial small subunit ribosomal RNA", at positions 1 to 567 of the family's 1533-position model. The record is from RNAcentral.